RNAcentral lists this ribosomal RNA (415 nucleotides) under bacterium enrichment culture clone ALO1_GLFRUDD03F4I57. RNAcentral describes it as "bacterial SSU rRNA". It matches the Rfam family "Bacterial small subunit ribosomal RNA", at positions 9 to 424 of the family's 1533-position model. The record is from RNAcentral.
GAGUUUGAUCUUGGCUCAGAUUGAACGCUGGCGGCAUGCCUUACACAUGCAAGUCGAACGGCAGCACGGGAGCUUGCUCCCGGUGGCGAGUGGCGAACGGGUGAGUAAUGCAUCGGAACGUAUCCUGGAGUGGGGGAUAACGUAGCGAAAGUUACGCUAAUACCGCAUAUUCUGUGAGCAGGAAAGCGGGGGACCUUCGGGCCUCGCGCUCUUGGAGCGGCCGAUGUCGGAUUAGCUAGUUGGUGAGGUAAAGGCUCACCAAGGCGACGAUCCGUAGCAGGUCUGAGAGGAUGAUCUGCCACACUGGAACUGAGACACGGUCCAGACUCCUACGGGAGGCAGCAGUGGGGAAUUUUGGACAAUGGGGGCAACCCUGAUCCAGCCAUGCCGCGUGAGUGAAGAAGGCCUUCGGCGU